AGACACCUCUCACAGUUUCUAAGGUUGCGUAGGGUAUCUAGCCAGGUACUUUCCCCUGUUUCUCACUGCAUUCUCUCCUCUCCCUUUCCCUCGUUUCCUUCUCCUGUCUCCUUCCUUCCUAGAUCCAGGUCAGUGGAGGGCGAUCCGGCGAGCGGCGGUGAGCUCCGCGCGCUCCAUCCGCGGGAGCGGCUGCCCGGUGAGCAUCUUGACGCGGGAGGCCGCAGGUGCAGCAGCGCGGCGGGCCAAGUGAGCACCGCGAUGCGCGGUGGGCGGUGGCUGUCACCGGCCGGGGCUCGCGGUCCAGGCGAGGCUGGGUGACGGCAAGAGCUCGCGCGCGGCCCGGACGCCCGGUGAGCUGCGUCUACCGGUGCCCGUGCCCUCGAGAGGAGGCGUCCUGCGCGGCAGCAGGCAGUGGAGGAUGUUCUCUAGCACAUCUCAGGAAUUUUAGGAGUUCCUAAGGAACCAAACACUCCAUUACAAUCAAUUUACAAUCAAUUGAUUUUUUCCUCCAUUACAAUCAAUUUACAAUCAAUUGAUUUUUGGUGAUUUUAUGUCACGGAGCUGAGUGGUAGGCAACAAGAUAAACUUUAAAUGGAAUGCAAUUGGUGAUCACCAGGCAUAAAGAAGAGGAAGAUCCUGGAUGGGAGUAUGGAAUAUGUGAAGGGAUGAUAUUACUGUAGAAUGGUUCUUAAUCAAGGGAAAAGAAGGGCUACAUGCGUUGUACCUGACAACUUAUGAAUGGGCAAUUGUUUAAUGUAAACAGUACAUAAUUUGUCUCAAUUAAAUUUUUUUUUUUGCAACA
This is a long non-coding RNA of Setaria italica (foxtail millet), 802 nucleotides long. RefSeq lists it as uncharacterized. Lineage: Eukaryota; Viridiplantae; Streptophyta; Magnoliopsida; Poales; Poaceae. The transcript is spliced from 2 exons. The record is from RefSeq and is a predicted model, not a curated record.